UAGUAAUUCAUAUUCCUCAUUCAUUAGGUCUUGAUGUGUUAUUGUAAUCCUAACUAAUAAAGAGGGAAUAUGCUAAUUGAGUGUCAUGCCCUCAAAGAUGGUGGUGCCCAGUCCCAUUGGGGUGGCAGGUGCAUGGCAAGGCCAGGCCCGCUUGCCUCCGGAGUCCCCUAGUCCCCUCAGCCCCCCCAGCCGCCCAGGGCCACCCGAGGCUCAGGUAACCAGGGCUGGCUGAGGCUUGCGCUGCUGGCAGUAGCAGCAGCAGAGGUGUGAUGGGGGCAUCGCCUUCACCUGAUCGCCGGGUCGCCUCCUGCCCCUGAGGGCUCCCAGACUGUGAGAGGGGUCAGGCCGGGCUGAGGGACACCCCCCUCCAGUGCAUGAAUUUUCAUGCAGCAGGUCUCUAGUGUUAUAUACAUAUAUAUAUAUAGCUAAUAUGCAAAGUGUCCCUCGGGAGUUCAACCUGGAGACUGGGAGUUCAAUCGCUCACUAUGAUGUGCACUGACCACCAGGGGGCGGCAUGGAACGAAGGGAGGCCUGGCCAGCCCUGAUCGCUGACCAGGCCUAGAGACCCUACCUGUGCACAAAUUUCGUUCACCGGGCCUCUACUCUAGUCUGUUUGAUAAUUAUGUCUCUGAUGGUUUUUGACAAACAUUUUACAAGCUCACUACACGAACAACAGUAGAGUAAAUAUCUCUGUGACUUUCUUAAAGCCAUCUAUUAGAUCCAGUCCAUUUUUAAGGGGCAUCUAACCCUUGAAAUAAAUGCUUGGCCACUGUUAAUGUCUUAGGGCCUCUAGACUAUUGAGAGGUUAUAGCUUAAACUUGAGUCACGCAUUGUAUAUUUGCUUUAACUGGUCUUUCCCUCCUUUUUAUCUGAAGUUCAGUUGUUAAACCAGGAUGGAAAAUUAGCUGCAUAUAAAGGCUUCAUCCCUGUGCUCUUGCCUGCCCUUUUAAGAGGAUUGCAAGUGUUUAAAAAUAGGUCUGAUGAGUUAGGAAACUCCUACCUCUCAGUCAGUUGGCAAAGCAUCACUGGGCACCACUUAGUGCCCAUGCCAUUUGAGUUUCCUGUGGCACUCAGCAACCACAGCGGUGCAUUGUGGGGGCUGUAGGUAACCAUGAGGGUGUGCUCUUUGGAGAUGGCAUGCUAGCAUGAGAGUGAAACACUAAACUUAACAUGGGCAUCUGAUCUGGCCACAUUGAAGGGCCCUGAGGUUGGUGGGCAGGAUGAGCCAAAAGGUAUUUCCAGCAGACUCUCCAACUGCCCACCUGACAGUGAAAAUGUCUUUCUUUGUCGGUGGCAUUUAGGAAAAUGUGAAAGAAUUCCUCUUGAUAAUAAUUGAACAGCAUAAGAAGAGCAGGCAGAGGCAAGAGUUUGUUUGUGUUGCUUUUGCUCAUUACUCCAGAUAAGACUCAUUCAGAAUCACCAGAGUUCGUAUUUACAACUGAAGUGAGGAUACUUGUGACCAAGAGAAGGGACCCCAGCGAUUGUCAGUAUCUGCAAAGUGGCUUUUGGGGCAAAUGUCCACUUUGAUAAUAGUAUACACUGAGUAGUUUUGGUGAUAUUGCUGGUAGCCUUCUUAGCAAACAGUGUGAUAGCAAAUAAUGAAUUUGAAACAAAUGGAAGUACUUUAAGGAGUUGCAGAAGCUAAAGUGAUUUUGAUCACCAUUGUCAUGGGUCUUCAAACUGGUCCCCUGAAGGAUGGAGAAUUUGUGAUCAUUAACACUAGCCCUGCCAUGGUGAUAGCUGAACUU
Long non-coding RNA from Myotis daubentonii (Daubenton's bat), 1748 nucleotides. RefSeq lists it as uncharacterized. The record is from RefSeq and is a predicted model, not a curated record. NCBI's taxonomy places the organism in Eukaryota, Metazoa, Chordata, Mammalia, Chiroptera, Vespertilionidae.